RNAcentral lists this long non-coding RNA (1515 nucleotides) under Homo sapiens (human). RNAcentral describes it as "HSALNT0343580". Lineage: Eukaryota; Metazoa; Chordata; Mammalia; Primates; Hominidae. The record is from RNAcentral.
CACUGUCUCCCAUCACUCCCAGAUGGGACCGUCUAGUUGCAGGAAAACAAGCUCAGGGCUCCCACUGAUUCUACAUUAUGCACACCAAAGAGAGUUCUAGAAAAAAUGAGAAUAAGAAAUUUACCUGUAAUCCUUGCUCAAGAAACUGAAGCUCUGAGGCCACAUUGUUCCAGCCUUUUGCAGCUCCUGCAUGUGGAUACCAGCACCAGCAGCUCCCCGACCAGGGGCCCCAGCUAAGCCCUCCCAGAGGAUGAUCUUGGCUUUGUACAUGGGGUGUCAAUAUCCUGUGAGUCCAACAGAGGGAAGACAUAAGAAUAUGGUCACCCAGAGAUACCCAUCUAAAGUCACUGUCGCUUACAGUUGUGGCAAUUCUGAAUGUCGACAGGAGAAUGUCUCCCGGAUUUCAGCCUUUUAGAAGAUAAAAUGGUCCUAUGUGUUCAUGAACAAAACCCACCAGUUUCCCCAGGGCAGUGAGUUACCUGACAUCUGGCAGAUUCCUGGAAGGUUUCCUCUGGCCCCAUACUGGGAUCCAUUCCUGGGACAACUAGAAGUGCCAGGGAGUUAAAGCCCCAAGAGCGACCUUCAAGCCAAUAAGAGAUGGAGUUGGAAUGAAAACCUCAGCUUCCUCAUACCUCAGUGGGACAAUCCUGAGAUGUGUUCCUCAAGUCUCUCCAAGGACCUGAUGGGACUGAGUCCUGGUUGCUCAUGAGAGAAACCAGCAGGACUGGAUGUCAGUGAUUGCACCAUGCAGGAUUACAGAUUGUGCUGAGUUUAGAUUUUCUGCCUUCCUCCUCAGUUGUCAGGCUGCUAGCCAGCUCUUCUGCUCCCAUGACACCUGCAUCGAAUGCCUGCCCUUUCCUUACUACAAGACCCUUUCCAGUUCCCAGAUUAGAAUCUGCCACAGGCUAGGAAUCCCACAUCCCAGUAGUGAUUUGGCUCCAAGUGCAAAGGCACCUAGUGUCUGCCUUUUGUUCAGCAGCUUGGUGAUGGACAUAUCCAGGACUCAGAGACCCCUUUCCCUCAGCUCUCUGAGUUGGAAGCUGUCAGGUGCAGAAGGGCAACAUCUUACAUACACAGGGUUUGGGCAGGUCUGGGCAGUGCCUGGUUAAUGUUAAAUAAUGCAGAUAAAGGAAUUGUUGACAUCUGAAAGUCAAUAUGAAAAUUGUAUGCACUGCUGUGACUCAUGCAACUUCACUCCCAGCCCUGGUUCUCAUGAUUCCAGAAGUGGAAAAAAUAAGGCAACUCUUUUCCUCACAAUUCAAAAAAAUACCUAUUGAGCAACAUCAGCUUGGCCCACACAAGACAAUUUUUAUCCCUUCCGUUAGUUAACUUUGCUUUGGCCAAAGGCCAGAAAAACCUCAUUCUUUACAGGCAACCUCAGACCACCAUCCUGGAUCCACUUCAAAAACUAACUGCAGACCUGUGUCUUACUAGAGGUGAUUUGGUAGCAUUGAAGAUCAAAUCCCGAUUUAAAAAAUUAAAAAAAAAAUGAACAUAAAAUGCAUUUUUAACAAU